This is a long non-coding RNA of Zingiber officinale, 181 nucleotides long. RefSeq lists it as uncharacterized. The record is from RefSeq and is a predicted model, not a curated record. The transcript has 3 exons. NCBI's taxonomy places the organism in Eukaryota, Viridiplantae, Streptophyta, Magnoliopsida, Zingiberales, Zingiberaceae.
AAUGGAAGUGGUUAAAAUAGAAUAUGCUGGUCAUGCAAGAGAACUUGUUUCCACUGUAGAAAUCAGCACCUACCCUGAUGGAAUAGUAUGUGUUGGAGGAGAUGGCAUUGUGAAUGAGGUACUUAAUGGUCUUCUGAGCAGAGAUAACCAGAAGGGAGCACUUUCUAUUCCAAUUGGCAUC